ACACCGAAAUACUACACACAUGUUUAGAUGAAAUGCAACUUAGUGAGAAUAGUGAAUAACAAUUUAACUUGUAAAUCUCUUGCACUUUAGUAGGAAUUUUUGUACUUUUCCAAAAUAUCUUUUUUUGGUUAAUUUAGAGCUUGUGACCCAAAUAAAAGUAAAUUCGUGUUUAGUGUGACUGGAUAAUUAAUUGAGAAAAUAAUGUCAUUACGCAAUUCGUCAU
This 223-nucleotide long non-coding RNA is filed under the name Mytilus galloprovincialis (Mediterranean mussel). Lineage: Eukaryota; Metazoa; Mollusca; Bivalvia; Mytilida; Mytilidae. The record is from RNAcentral.